This 498-nucleotide ribosomal RNA is filed under the name uncultured bacterium. RNAcentral describes it as "partial 16S ribosomal RNA". It matches the Rfam family "Bacterial small subunit ribosomal RNA", at positions 28 to 507 of the family's 1533-position model. The record is from RNAcentral.
GACGAACGCUGGCGGCGUGCCUAAUACAUGCAAGUCGAGCGGACGGAUGGGAGCUUGCUCCCAGACCGUCAGCGGCGGACGGGUGAGUAACACGUGGGCAACCUGCCUGUAAGACUGGGAUAACUCCGGGAAACCGGGGCUAAUACCGGAUAACUCUUUCCCUCACAUGAGGGAAAGCUGAAAGAUGGCAUCUCGCUAUCACUUACAGAUGGGCCCGCGGCGCAUUAGCUAGUUGGGGAGGUAACGGCUCACCAAGGCGACGAUGCGUAGCCGACCUGAGAGGGUGAUCGGCCACACUGGGACUGAGACACGGCCCAGACUCCUACGGGAGGCAGCAGUAGGGAAUCUUCCGCAAUGGACGAAAGUCUGACGGAGCAACGCCGCGUGAGUGAUGAAGGUGUUCGGAUCGUAAAACUCUGUUGUCAGGGAAGAACAAGUACCGGAGUAACUGCCGGUACCUUGACGGUACCUGACCAGAAAGCCACGGCUAACUACGUG